This 349-nucleotide unclassified non-coding RNA is filed under the name soil metagenome. RNAcentral's name for it is "partial contains 5.8S ribosomal RNA, internal transcribed spacer 2, and large subunit ribosomal RNA". The stretch from base 1 to 120 matches the Rfam family "5.8S ribosomal RNA", at positions 35 to 154 of the family's 154-position model. The record is from RNAcentral.
GAUGAAGAACGGAGCGAAAUGCGAUAACUAAUGUGAAUUGCAGAAUUCCGUGAAUCAUCGAGUCUUUGAACGCACAUUGCGCCCCCUGGUAUUCCGGGGGGCAUGCCUGUCCGAGCGUCAUUGCUGCCCAUCAAGCACGGCUUGUGUGUUGGGUCCUCGUCCCCCCCGGGGGACGUGCCCGAAAGGCAGCGGCGGCACCGCGUCCGGUCCUCGAGCGUAUGGGGCUUUGUCACCCGCUCUGCAGGCCCGGCCGGCGCUGGCCGACGCGAAAGCAACCAUUUUUUCUCCAGGUUGACCUCGGAUCAGGCAGGGAUACCCGCUGAACUUAAGCAUAUCAAUAAGCGGAGGA